Molecule: ribosomal RNA, 440 nt
Filed under: uncultured bacterium
Lineage: Bacteria
Description: partial 16S ribosomal RNA
Rfam family: Bacterial small subunit ribosomal RNA
Source: RNAcentral
CCUACGGGUGGCAGCAGUGGGGAAUAUUGCACAAUGGGGGAAACCCUGAUGCAGCGACGCCGCGUGAAGGAAGCAGUCUUUCGGUAUGUAACCUUCUAUCAGCAGGGACGAAAAUGACGGUACCUGACUACUCAUCCCCGGCUAACUACGUUCCAGCAGCCGCGGUAAUACGUAGGGGGCACGCGUUAUCCGGAUUUACUGGGUGUAAAGGGAGCGUAGUCGGUUUAGCAAGUCAGAAGUGAAAGCCCGGGGCUCAACUCCGGGACUGCUUUUGAAACUGUUGAACUAGAUGGCAGGAGAGGUAAGUGGAAUUCCUAGUGUAGCGGUGAAAUGCGUAGAUAUUAGGAGGAACACCAGUGGCGAAGGCGGCUUACUGGACUGUAAAUGACGCUGAGGCUCGAAAGCGUGGGGAGCAAACAGGAUUAGAUACCCGUGUAGUC